CAUCACUCCCCAAGACCCAGCGAGAAGCCCCGGCGGGGCGGGGCGGGGCCUGGACACGCGCCGGCACGCCCAGCAGGUGGCAGCAGCGAGCUCGUGGAUGGCGAGCGCUCCUAUUUCGCUUUGCUCGCCUCGGAAUUCGAGACCCCAGACGAGGACCAGGAUUCAUGAACCGGUCGCAGGGGCCCGGGCAGGGGCCUCUGGCUCCCAACGCUGGCCGAGAGAUGGAGAAACUGAGGCACAGAAAGAUGAAGUACUUGCCAGAGGCACACAGCUAGGCUGUUGUAGGGCAGGACGCAAGAAGGGCUUCUCUGUGUAAACCAGGGUACAGGGCGGGGUUUAGGGUGGGGAAGGUGUCAGUUGCCCUGUCGCUUAUCCGACUCCCCCACAGCUGAGAUGACUCUGUUUAAAAACCUCUGAUAGGAAAACCAGAAGAUAAACUGAAUCGCUGAAGGUCAAAGUAGGAUAAAAGGUGACAAAGAUAAAUGUUUUAAUACAUAUUUAGCUUUAAAGAAAGAAGCGGGGACCGGCUCCGUGGCCGAGUGGUUAAGUUCGCGCGCUCUGCUGCGGCGGCCCAGGGUUCGGAUCCUGGGCACGGACCUGGCACCGCUCGUCAGGCCACAAUGAGACGGCGUCCCACAUCCCACAACUAGAAGGACAUGCAACUAAGAUAUACAACUGUGUACAGGGGGGGUUUGGAGAGAUAAAGCAGAAAAAAAGAAAAGAAAAGAAAGAAAGAAGGGAAAUUCCUGGUGAAACAAGCACAGAAAUCAAAGCCCUGUGGGUAAGGGGGAGCGGAGGUCCUGGGGACCCUGGGGUUCUAAGCCAGAACAUCAGCCCUUGGAGCUGGGCUGGCGUUCUAAUGCCCACCUCUCUUACUAGAGGUAACCUUGGGCUUACUAGAGGUAACCUUGGGCCUGUGUGAAGCCGGGAAGCUGGAAAUUUGCUCCCUGCAUAAAGCUUGAAGUCUGGAAGUGUCACUAUUCUAUCCACAAAGAAUUAGAAAACUUCCUUUCACCUUCCAAGGACACCCUGAAGAAGCUAUGCCUCUGUCUGAGGCCUUUUGUGGAAAAUCAGCCACUCAGCCCUGUGCCUUGAGAAGGUGCAGGAUCCGAAUUUACCCCUCACUCUGCAGGAAUCCCAGCAGGGGAGUAAGUGACAGCCACUUGCCCCGGGAUGUUAAUUCUCAAGGAAGACAAGAGGAACAAUUGCAAAAACUAUUCUACUGGGAUAUUUUCACAGAGUAGGGUUCAUGAGAAGCCCUUUUUUUUUUAAUGCUGAAAAGUAGUUCAGCGUAGUUCAUAGUUAAAGAGAUACAAAUCACAAAGGGAAAUUAACUGCAGAGAUGGAAAACCAGCAGAUGCAACCAGCCAGUGAAUUAGCAUUGCAAGAGUGGGAAAUGAAAGAACUGGAAAUGAAAGAGAACCAGAAUAAGCAAGUUUAAGUAAUUUAAAGGAUUUUAAAAAUUAGGAACCAUAAUGAAAAAAUAGAGCAUUAUGGAAAAGGAAACAGACAAAUUUGAUAAAUAACCAAUUACAACUCAUAGAAACAAAACACAAAGUGGCCACAGUUAAGGACUCACUGGGUAGGUUAAAUGAAAGAUUGAGCAGAGGAAAAAUUAGUGAACCUGAACGCAGAUCUGCAGAAAUCACCCAGAAUGUAGCAUGGAGAAACAAGGUGGAAACUGAGAAAGAAUUAACCAAGCAAGACGGAAGGUAGAAUGAGAUGCCCAACAUAAUCUCCUAGAACUUCCAGAAGGAAAGUCAGUUUUCACAGGGAAAAUGAGAAUAUUCCAGAAUUGAGGACAUGAAUCUUCAGAUUGAAAAAGCACACCAAGUUCUGAAGAGCGUAAAUAAAAAUCACAGAUUUUUUAAAACAUAAUUUCUAUUUCUUCAAAUGUUGUAUCUGCCCAGGUUUUUCUCCCAAUCCUUUCUGGGUUUAAUUUCCAUUUCAUCUAAAUUGUUCGAUUUUAUCGAAAAAAAGAAUUAAAUAAAAAUAUAAGAACCUAAAUUAACAAAAAAGAAUGUAGAAAGAAGGAAAUAACAAUGAUGAAUGAUAAAAUUAAUGAACUAUUUCUGUGCCUUAAGAGCUCGGUUUCAAGCUGCCGCUGGUGCUGUAGAAUUGGUUCCUGAUGCUGGGCUCUCGUUGCUUCCGUGACGAACAGGCUGCUUUCCUGUGUGGGGCGACUUCACUCUCAGUACACUGCUGUGUGGUCAGGAAAGCCUUCCAGUGGAGAUACACAAGCACAGGGAGGGACCCUGUAGGAAGAGGGUGGAGACCAGCAAAUGCAGGACCGUCCUCAGAACCCUGAUACAGAAUGAACACGGACGAAGAGUGACACCCAGUGGCCAGACGCCCACAUAGCACUCAGAGGUGAUUCCUGGGGCUGCACAUGCUGGCUGCUGCUUGUGGCCAGGUUGCCGGAGGGGUUCUCUGACUGCUGUGUUUUGGGGAUGUCUGUAAAGUAGAGAGUGCUUUGGGGGCUGUUCAAUGAGCCAUCUCCCCUCUCCUCUCCUUCUCCCACCUCUCCCUGUCUCCUGCCUCACUUUCCCCUCCCUUACCGAAUGUGCACUCUCUGAUGCACUGGGUCCCACAGGUGACCAGGUGUGGGCCGACAGAGGACCCUGUGGGAAUAAGGAGAAGCUCUCAUGCCACCACUGCAAUACAGGAGACACUGUUCUUCAGGGUAACGGUGUUUCCCCUGCAACUGAGCCAGCUAAAAUGUGCUGAUCAGAUUAAUUUAGUGGAACUGAGUUAUUGAAAUUCAGGGAGAGGGUAUAAGAUGCUGAAGUGCCAGUGUAGACAAUCCAUUCCAUCACAAAAAGGCCCCAGUGAAACUAGACAUGGUUAGGUCAGCCUCACUUCUGCAAACAAAACUGCAAGCAUGUUUCUAAACGCUCUAGCAACAGCCAACAUGGAGAUUAUGCUAAGG
This 2929-nucleotide long non-coding RNA is filed under the name Equus asinus (donkey). Its description in RNAcentral is "lncRNA (ENSEASG00005035209.1)". Lineage: Eukaryota; Metazoa; Chordata; Mammalia; Perissodactyla; Equidae. The record is from RNAcentral.